UAAACAGAAGCCUGUGGCACUCGGCUGUUAACCGAGACUAAGCCAGUAUAAAUUCUGGCCUGUUUAG
Molecule: transfer RNA, 67 nt
Filed under: Asychis amphiglyptus
Lineage: Eukaryota; Metazoa; Annelida; Polychaeta; Maldanidae
Description: tRNA-Asn
Source: RNAcentral